RNAcentral lists this transfer RNA (72 nucleotides) under Harpegnathos saltator (Jerdon's jumping ant). It matches the Rfam family "tRNA". Rfam says of the family: Transfer RNA (tRNA) molecules are approximately 80 nucleotides in length. Lineage: Eukaryota; Metazoa; Arthropoda; Insecta; Hymenoptera; Formicidae. The record is from Rfam by way of RNAcentral.
CGUCAGGUAGCUCAGUGAUCUAGACCAGUCGCCCGGCAAGCGAAAGACUGGGUUCGAUUCCCGGCCUAGCGA